UACGUAGGGAGCAAGCGUUGUCCGGAAUCAUUGGGCGUAAAGCGCGCGUAGGUGGCCACAUAAGUCCGUUGUGAAAGUCAAAGGCUCAACCUUUGAAAGCCGAUGGAUACUGUGUGGCUAGAGUACGGAAGAGGCGAGUGGAAUUCCCGGUGUAGCGGUGGAAUGCGCAGAUAUCAGGAGGAACACCAAUAGCGAAGGCAGCUCGCUGGGACGUUACUGACACUGAGGCGCGAAAGCGUGGGGAGCGAACAGG
This 253-nucleotide ribosomal RNA is filed under the name uncultured bacterium. Its description in RNAcentral is "partial 16S ribosomal RNA". It matches the Rfam family "Bacterial small subunit ribosomal RNA", at positions 524 to 776 of the family's 1533-position model. The record is from RNAcentral.